CUCAAUGAAAAUUCAAUAGCCGCAAUAUUUUUGUGCUAAGGUAGCAUAAUCAUUUGUCUUUUAAUUAAAGACUAGAACGAAAGAUUCUAUAUUUUUAUUUCUUUCUUAUAUAUAAAUUAUUUAAUUUAUUCUAAAUAUUAAAAAAUAUUUAUAAAAUAAAAAGACGACAAGACCCUAUUGAACUUAACUAAAGUUAAACUGGGGUAGUUAAUUAAAUAUGAUUUUAAUUUAAAUUCUAAAAAUAUCCUAAUAUAAUUAAACAAAUUAAGUUACCAUAGGGAUAACAGCGUAAUAAUUUUCUAAAGAUCUUAUAUAAAAAUUUGCUUACGACCUCGAUGUUGAAUUAAUAAUCUAUUAAAUGCAAUAAUUUAAUAAGAAAGUCUGUUCGACUU
Molecule: ribosomal RNA, 392 nt
Filed under: Draconarius yani
Lineage: Eukaryota; Metazoa; Arthropoda; Arachnida; Araneae; Agelenidae
Description: partial 16S ribosomal RNA
Source: RNAcentral